CCCUACAUUAGAUAUGCGGAUGCAAGGCCACGACGCGACGCGGCGCGGACUGGUUGGAGCUGUGGAAAAUGGCCGGUUGUAUUCGUGCCGGGGGACAGUCAAGAAGCAUCAAGGAUUCAGCCCAGACGAAGACGAGUUAGCUGAGCAAACACCGCUGCGGCACGUCCGCCAACCACCACCAUCUCGCGCGAUAUCGUUUCUCCUCCGAAAUCGAAUCAUCAUGUCGUCUAAUGACCUCUCGCCCGAUGAAUUCAUCGAAAUCUGCCCCUCGCCCAUUCAGGAACCUACAGCCCCCGUAGCCCGUUUUCCAGCCAAUCCGCCGCAACCCGACCCGGCUCUGGUCCAGUUCAUGCGGGAGCAUUGGGGCUUGCUGAGGGGCGAAGUACACAAUUCGAGCCUCUCGAUGCUGCCCGACAGUCGGGACCCCACUGCGCGAAGACACCGCCGAUCACGAGUGCCUACCAACCGUUCUUCCCGGCACCCUUCCUCGCCGGCCUUUUUAGUCCCAUAAUGCAUUACAUCUAGUACAUAAACCAGUAAACUGCUUGUUCAUGAACAUCUGCAUAUCUUGUAUAUGAACAUCUGCAUAUGUUGCUUAUGAACAUGACAAGAUAUAUGAGAGUUGACAAGUCUGCAAAAUGUUCAUGAACAUCUGCAUACCUUGUUCAUGAACAUCUGCAUAUGUUGUUUAUGAUCCGAUAGAUGGCAUGACCGUAUUCUGUAUUUUUGGAGGGGGAUAUAUAUUCAGUCAUUCCUUGGGAAAAAUACCAGGGAAAACGGUACUUCUUAGAAAACAUAAAACUCUGCAGAUGAGUUCGAAUCAUCAUGUCCCCGCUUCAACACACUAUAUGUAAGCACUCAUUUCACCCACCAUUCCCUGUUAUCACCAAGAGGGUACGGAUAUAGUGACGUACAGCACCCUCUGACUAUCAUACUCAAAUUUGGGGCUCGGGACUGCGAGUGUCGUAUUCUGUGGUUCUUUGUUGCAUUGUCUCAAUGCGUGACUGAUGUGUGUUGUUCCAACUUCAUGUUGCAUUUUGACGUGUCCAUCAGCACUCUCCUGCGCUUCUCUUGGUUGCACGCCUAGGAUCGAGUACUAGAAGUCGCGCAAUGCGGGGCGUUGAGACCACCUUGGGGAAGGGGUAUUCGCGCCCUGCAACCACGGUGUUUGGGCGCUUCGACCUCCUUGAGGAAGGGGGCUUAGCGCCCCGCGACCACGCAGCACCACCCCCACCAAAAUAACUUGUUUCCCUGGUCGUGUCCUAAUGCUAGAAUCCAUACUGAAGGACUUCUAGUGCAUGAACCAGAUCUUUGCUUGUUCAUGAAUAUGUAGUUCCUGAACUCAUGCAUAUGUUGUUUAUGAGCGUGACAAAAUUAAUUAUAUCUUAUUGCAGGAUAUCCUCUUUCCUUGUAAGUUAACCACAAUCAGCAAGUUCAAGAACAAGGAACACUUCGUUUAUUAACAAUACUUAAACAUUAUAUAGUUGAAGCAGCUACUAUACCUUCAGUUUCAGGAAUAUUUUCCCCAUCCAUGUUUUGGCUGUAUAACACUCUAACGUUUUUACGAACCAUAAUUUGCACCAUAAACUGCCGUAAACCGUAAACUGCAACAAGCUCGAUCACAAACUAGUAAGUGAUAACAAUUGUAAACAAAGCGAAACAGCGCCUCGCGGAGAAAUGGGUAAGCUCCGAUUGGCGGGAAAUUUGAAUUAUGCGG
Molecule: long non-coding RNA, 1717 nt
Filed under: Bemisia tabaci
Lineage: Eukaryota; Metazoa; Arthropoda; Insecta; Hemiptera; Aleyrodidae
Description: lncRNA ENSSSA2NGG009488
Source: RNAcentral